This 253-nucleotide ribosomal RNA is filed under the name uncultured prokaryote. RNAcentral's name for it is "partial 16S ribosomal RNA". It matches the Rfam family "Bacterial small subunit ribosomal RNA", at positions 524 to 776 of the family's 1533-position model. The record is from RNAcentral.
UACGGAGGGUGCGAGCGUUGUCCGGAAUCACUGGGCGUAAAGCGCACGUAGGCGGCCCUGCAAGUCGGAUGUGAAAUCCCACGGCUCAACCGUGGACGUGCAUUCGAAACUGCUUGGCUCGAGUAUGGAAGAGGGUCGCGGAAUUCCCGGUGUAGAGGUGAAAUUCGUAGAUAUCGGGAGGAACACCAGUGGCGAAGGCGGCGACCUGGGCCAAUACUGACGCUGAGGUGCGAAAGCGUGGGGAGCAAACAGG